This 492-nucleotide ribosomal RNA is filed under the name uncultured bacterium. Its description in RNAcentral is "partial 16S ribosomal RNA". It matches the Rfam family "Bacterial small subunit ribosomal RNA", at positions 29 to 507 of the family's 1533-position model. The record is from RNAcentral.
AGUGAACGCUGGCGGUAGGCCUAACACAUGCAAGUCGAACGGCAGCACAGUAAGAGCUUGCUCUUACGGGUGGCGAGUGGCGGACGGGUGAGGAAUACAUCGGAAUCUACUUUUUCGUGGGGGAUAACGUAGGGAAACUUACGCUAAUACCGCAUACGACCUACGGGUGAAAGCAGGGGAUCUUCGGACCUUGCGCGAUUGAAUGAGCCGAUGUCGGAUUAGCUAGUUGGCGGGGUAAAGGCCCACCAAGGCGACGAUCCGUAGCUGGUCUGAGAGGAUGAUCAGCCACACUGGAACUGAGACACGGUCCAGACUCCUACGGGAGGCAGCAGUGGGGAAUCUUGGACAAUGGGCGCAGGCCUGAUCCAGCCAUACCGCGUGGGUGAAGAAGGCCUUCGGGUUGUAAAGCCCUUUUGUUGGGAAAGAAAAGCAGCAGGUUAAUACCCCGCUGUUCUGACGGUACCCAAAGAAUAAGCACCGGCUAACUUCGUG